RNAcentral lists this ribosomal RNA (1482 nucleotides) under metagenome. Its description in RNAcentral is "bacterial SSU rRNA". It matches the Rfam family "Bacterial small subunit ribosomal RNA". The record is from RNAcentral.
AGAGUUUGAUCCUGGCUCAGAACGAACGCUGGCGGCGCGUUUUAAGCAUGCAAGUCGAAGGGUCUGUUUUUUCACGAGAACAGACACUGGCGCACGGGUGAGUAACACGUGAGUAUCUACCUUAAAGUGGGGGAUAGCUGGUAGAAAUAUCAGAUAAUACCGCAUAUGCCGAGAGGUGAAAGUGGCUUUUGCCACGCUUUAGGAUGAGCUUGCGGUCCAUUAGCUAGUUGGCAGGGUAAAUGCCUACCAAGGCGACGAUGGAUAGCCGGCCUGAGAGGGUGUACGGCCACAUUGGGACUGAGACACGGCCCAGACUCCUACGGGAGGCAGCAGCUAAGAAUAUUCCGCAAUGGGAGCAAUCCUGACGGAGCGACGCCGCGUGGAUGAUGAAGGCCGAAAGGUUGUAAAAUCCUUUUAUAUGGAAAGAAUAAAGACAGGAAUAGAAUGCCUGUCAUAUGACGGUACCAUAUGAAUAAGCCCCGGCUAACUACGUGCCAGCAGCCGCGGUAAUACGUAGGGGGCAAGCGUUGUUCGGAUUCAUUGGGCGUAAAGGGCAUGUAGGUGGUUUUGUAAGUGUGGAUUUAAAGGCGUAGGCUUAACCUAUCGCAUGGUCUGCAAACUACAAGACUUGAGUAUAGAAGGGGAAACUGGAAUUCCGCGUGUAGGGGUGAAAUCUGUAGAGAUGCGGAAGAAUACCUGUGGCGAAGGCGAGUUUCUGGUCUAAUACUGACACUAAAAUGCGAAAGUGCGGGGAGCAAACAGGAUUAGAUACCCUGGUAGUCCGCACCGUAAACGUUGCACACUAGGUGUUGGCGAUUGUAUCGCUAGUGCCGCAGCUAACGCGUUAAGUGUGCCGCCUGGGGAGUAUGCUCGCAAGGGUGAAACUCAAAGGAAUUGACGGGGGCCCGCACAAGCGGUGGAGUAUGUGGUUUAAUUCGACGAUACGCGAAAAACCUUACCUGGGUUUGACAUCCAUUUGACCGAUACAGAGAUGUAUCUUUCCUUCGGGACAGAUGGACAGGUGCUGCAUGGCUGUCGUCAGCUCGUGUUGUGAGAUGUUGGGUUAAGUCCCGCAACGAGCGCAACCCUUACUGUUAGUUGCCAUCAGGUAAUGCUGGGCACUCUAGCAGAACUGCCAGUGAUAAACUGGAGGAAGGUGGGGAUGACGUCAAGUCCUCAUGGCCCUUAUGUCCAGGGCUACACACGUACUACAAUGGACUGCACAAAGGGUAGCAAGACCGUAAGGUGGAGCCAAUCCCAAAAAACAGUCCUCAGUUCAGAUUGAAGUCUGCAACUCGACUUCAUGAAGCUGGAAUCGCUAGUAAUCGCAGAUCAGCAUGCUGCGGUGAAUACGUUCCCGGGCCUUGUACACACCGCCCGCCACACCAUCCGAGCCGAGGACACCCGAAGUUAUUACCCUAACCGCAAGGAGGGGGGUACCUAAGGUAUGCUUGGUGAGGAGGGUGAAGUCGUAACAAGGUA